Callithrix jacchus (white-tufted-ear marmoset) is the source of this 300-nucleotide unclassified non-coding RNA. It matches the Rfam family "Metazoan signal recognition particle RNA". From Rfam's summary of the family: The signal recognition particle (SRP) is a universally conserved ribonucleoprotein. The record is from Ensembl. Lineage: Eukaryota; Metazoa; Chordata; Mammalia; Primates; Cebidae.
GCUGGGCGUGGUGGCGUGUGCCUGUAGUCCCAGCUAUUUGGGAAGCUGAGGCUGGAGGAUCUCUUGAAUCCAGGAGUUCUGGGCUGUAGUGCACUAUGCCAAUCAGGUGUCCGCACUAAGUUCAGCAUCAAUAUGGUGACCUCCCUGGAGCAGGGGACCACCAGGUUGCCUAAAGAGGGGUGAACCGGCCUAGGUCAGAAACGGAGCAGGUCAAAACUCCAGUGCUGAUCAGUAGUGGGAUUGUGCCUGUGAAUAGCCACUGCACUCCAACCUGGGCAACAUAGAGAGACCCCGUCUCUU